Molecule: ribosomal RNA, 252 nt
Filed under: uncultured Bacteroidales bacterium
Lineage: Bacteria; Pseudomonadati; Bacteroidota; Bacteroidia; Bacteroidales
Description: partial 16S ribosomal RNA
Rfam family: Bacterial small subunit ribosomal RNA
Source: RNAcentral
UACGGAGGAUGCGAGCGUUAUCCGGAUUUAUUGGGUUUAAAGGGUGCGCAGGCGGUCUGUUAAGUCAGCGGUCAAAGCCCGGGGCUCAACCCCAUCCAGCCGUUGAAACUGGGGAUCUAGAGUGUGCGAGAGGUAUGCGGAAUGCGUGGUGUAGCGGUGAAAUGCUUAGAUAUUGCGCAGAACUCCGAUUGCGAAGGCAGCAUACCGGCGCCCAACUGACGCUGAAGCACGAAAGCGUGGGUAUCGAACAGG